Molecule: non-coding RNA, 28 nt
Filed under: Mus musculus (house mouse)
Lineage: Eukaryota; Metazoa; Chordata; Mammalia; Rodentia; Muridae
Source: RNAcentral
UGUCACAUGAUGAUGCCAAGUUCUGCUC